RNAcentral lists this ribosomal RNA (508 nucleotides) under uncultured bacterium. Its description in RNAcentral is "bacterial SSU rRNA". It matches the Rfam family "Bacterial small subunit ribosomal RNA", at positions 19 to 518 of the family's 1533-position model. The record is from RNAcentral.
AUGGCUCAGGAUGAACGCUAGCGACAGGCUUAACACAUGCAAGUCGAGGGGCAGCACGGGAGUAGCAAUACAACUGGUGGCGACCGGCGCACGGGUGAGUAACGCGUAUGCAACCUACCUAUCAGAGGGGAAUAACCCGGCGAAAGUCGGACUAAUACCGCAUAAAACAGGGGCACCGCAUGGUGAUAUUUGUUAAAGAAAUUCGCUGAUAGAUGGGCAUGCGUUCCAUUAGGUAGUUGGUGAGGUAACGGCUCACCAAGCCGACGAUGGAUAGGGGAACUGAGAGGUUGGUCCCCCACACUGGUACUGAGACACGGACCAGACUCCUACGGGAGGCAGCAGUGAGGAAUAUUGGUCAAUGGGCGAGAGCCUGAACCAGCCAAGUCGCGUGAAGGAAGAAGGAUCUAUGGUUCGUAAACUUCUUUUGCAGGGGAAUAAAGUGCGGGACGUGUCCUGUUUUGUAUGUACCCUGAGAAUAAGGAUCGGCUAACUCCGUGCCAGCAGCAGC